AUUGAACGCUGGCGGCAUGCCUUACACAUGCAAGUCGAACGGCAGCACGGGUGCUUGCACCUGGUGGCGAGUGGCGAACGGGUGAGUAAUACAUCGGAACAUGUCCUGUAGUGGGGGAUAGCCCGGCGAAAGCCGGAUUAAUACCGCAUACGAUCUACGGAUGAAAGCGGGGGACCUUCGGGCCUCGCGCUAUAGGGUUGGCCGAUGGCUGAUUAGCUAGUUGGUGGGGUAAAGGCCUACCAAGGCGACGAUCAGUAGCUGGUCUGAGAGGACGACCAGCCACACUGGGACUGAGACACGGCCCAGACUCCUACGGGAGGCAGCAGUGGGGAAUUUUGGACAAUGGGCGAAAGCCUGAUCCAGCAAUGCCGCGUGUGUGAAGAAGGCCUUCGGGUUGUAAAGCACUUUUGUCCGAAAAGAAAUCCUUGGCCCUAAUACGGUCGGGGGAUGACGGUACCGGAAGAAUAAGCACCGGCUAACUACGUG
Molecule: ribosomal RNA, 486 nt
Filed under: uncultured bacterium
Lineage: Bacteria
Description: partial 16S ribosomal RNA
Rfam family: Bacterial small subunit ribosomal RNA
Source: RNAcentral